CUUCCUUCCGUUAGUGAGUAGACUGGCCAAAGUGAGUACUUAGUGCUUCUCAGUAGCUACCCCAGCAUUCAUUCCCUAUUGAGUAGACUGACAAAAGGGACUCUUCUGCGGUUCUCAGUAGUAACCAUUCCUUUCGUGCCCUACUGAGUAGAUUGGCUGGAGAAAAUCUCUAGUGGUUCUCAAUACAAACCAUCCCAGCUUUACUGGAGCUUGUCAGCGUUCUGUGUGUGCUAUGAAGCAUCGCAUUGUAGCUGCUGACUUCGAUAUACCACCAAUAAGAGGUCCAGAAUGAUUCUACAGAUGAGAGCAUACUGUCACCCCUUUCGAGCGACAGUGUUCUCGAGGAUCUUGUGAGGUAGCUUGACGCUCCAGAGGAUGGUGGUUGGAUAAAUUCAAACUCAUGUGAAUAUACCUUCAACAGAAGAAGAACGGUUACAAAUCGCUGCUGGUUUUGAGAAUUGAUGGGAUUUUCCAAACUGUAUUGGCGCUAUGGAUGGAAAACAUAUAGUCAUACAGGCUCCCAAGAAAGAAGGCAGUGUGUACUUUAAUUAUAAAGGGAACCACAGUAUUGUGCUAUUGGCACUGAUUGGACCUGACUACAGAGUUAUAUACUUCGAUGUGGGCUGUAAUGGUAGAAUAUCUGAUGGAUUUUUUGAUAAUUGUUGACUGUCAGAAUGUCUUGAGUCUAAUUCCUUGAAUGUACCAGUUACUCGAAAUCUACCUCGUAGAACUGUACAGAUACCUUACGUCAUCGUUGCUGAUGAUGCAUUUGCUCUAAAAAAUUAUAUUAUGUAGACCUACCCUUUUAGAGGCCAACCAGUGCAAAAUCGUGUGUUUAACUAUAUGCUCUCUAGAGCAAGAAAUGUGCUGAAAACUAUUUUUGGGCUCAUAUGCACACGUUUUCGAACAUUACGAACGCAAAUUCUUCUAAACCCAGAGGAAUCGAGACAAAUUGCCAAAGCGAUUUGUGCUCUUCAAAACUUUUUACUCACAGAAGAGAGUAGAAAGUCCGUUUACGCCCCACCUGGCACUUUUUAUUCUCAAGAUUUACAGACGCAAGGAGAAUGGCGCAAAGAUAUAUGGACAGAAACGAAUAUACUGCUGGAACCAAUAAACAUACAUAAUUGGCCACAGAUGGCCAAGGAAGCCAGAAAUAAAUUCACAAACUACUUUGUUUCAGCA
This is a long non-coding RNA of Schistocerca cancellata (South American locust), 1182 nucleotides long. RefSeq lists it as uncharacterized. The record is from RefSeq and is a predicted model, not a curated record. NCBI's taxonomy places the organism in Eukaryota, Metazoa, Arthropoda, Insecta, Orthoptera, Acrididae. The transcript has 3 exons.